CUGUUUAUUGGCAGUGUAGGAUGAGGUGCAAAUUACUCAUCGUGCGUGGGCCCCGCUUUUCCUGCUCGGUUCUCCCAAUCCCCAACACCCACGUCACCUGCCUCCAUGAGCCAGGCAUUUAAGAACUCCAGCCUGCCACCUUCCCCGUCUCCCCCCGUCUCCCGAUACGGCAGGCGUACUUUCCGCCGCGGGUGCAAGAAGCACUGCUCCCUGCCUCGUCCUUCGACCUCCCCCGAACGGAACGCCCCGUCGGUCGAUCACGCGAAUAUUGAGAUGCUUGUUUCCCUACCUUCGCGUGCCCUGCGAGACAUCCUACAAUCUCCGCGCUGAGCCCCCAUUUAAUCGAUGCAGCUUCGGUUCCAUCAAUCAUAAAGCACGGCGUGGCCAUCCUCACCGUUGGAUUGCUUAUUAUCCUAUUUUUUCAUUUUUCUUGCUGUUCUGAUUCGUUUGUCCAUAAAAAUUCCGCUUUUUAUUUUUGAAUUAUUAUUCUUUGGAUGUGAUAUCGAAUUUACGGUUAAAUAAUUUCGGUAGGAUUAUUUGGAUUUUUUUGAAGGAAUAUGUUCAUUAUUUUUUGAAUACUGGGGAAGAGGAUAAAUAGAAUGAAGGAGCUGGUGGAAGAGAGGCCUACGUCGAAGCCGAUGCUGAAGAAGCCACCGGGGUACCUCGACCCCGCGGUGCCGUACCCGGCAGCGCCGAGGCCGCCGCCCAGGCGGCAGCCGCUGCCCCCGGCCUUCCGCCAGCCCGGGAAGCCACUAACCCAGCAGCGCCAUCGCCGACCGCGGCGCUCCUGCUGUUGCCGCGUCUGCUGCUGGGCCUCCGCUGUGGCCCUCGUCUUGGGUACCUUACUUGCCGUCGCCAUGGGGCUCGCCUACCUCUGGUUCCAGCCGCGGCUCCCCUCCUUCCGCCUCGAGUCCCUCAACGCCACCGCGCUCCGCGUCGUCGCCAGCCCCGACGGGACCUUCCUCGACGCGGCUAUCAAGGUCGGGAUCCUGGCGACUAACCCCAACGGGAGAAUCGUGCUGGAGUACGGCGACGGGGACGCCCGGGUGGUGGUGGCGGACGACGACGGUGACGUGGGGGUGGGGGCGGUGGCGAUCACGGGGUUCGAGCAGGGGAGGAGGAACCGGACGGUGGUUCGGUUCGCGGCGGCGGCGAAGGGGGUAGCUGUGGAUGAGGUGGCUGGGGCGAGGAUCCGAGCCGGGUUCAGGAGUAAGGAGGUGCGUUUCGGAGUGGAGUUGAGGACGAAGGUGGGGCUCCAGGUGGGCGGUAAGAGCACCGGGAAGGUGUUGAUCCGGGUGGGGUGCAGCCCGGUGAGUUUAAAGCAGGGGGUGAGCGGUGGGACGCUGCCCAAAUGCGUCUUCUACUUGUUUAGUUGGAUUAAUUUGCAUUGAGAGGGCUUCCUAUUUGUAUGUCAAAGGAGAUGGCAUCUGCUGUUGCUGUACGGCAGAUCUGUAUUUGUUUUCCCGCUCUGCGAGUUCAGCUUCAACCUGCCAAAUUUACAGCAAGCUCACACUGUAUCUUCUUAAAAGCUGUUAUUACAGAAGAGGUCGAUGGUUUAGGCGAUGGGCUCCGAUUUGGAGUUGUGCCCUGCGCUCCGCCACCACGGCAACCACUUCUUGGCCAAGCUCUUCAUCUCCGGCCUUCUCCUCGGUGCAUCCUUCACCCUCCGCUCUUACUUUAGCGAGUACAACGCUGUCACCAGGAUGCUCUCAGUUGCCGUGGAGAAGCGAAGCUUCAGGAAGAAAGGUCCGAGGUAU
Molecule: RNA transcript, 1757 nt
Organism: Musa acuminata AAA Group (dessert banana)
Lineage: Eukaryota; Viridiplantae; Streptophyta; Magnoliopsida; Zingiberales; Musaceae
Gene name: NDR1/HIN1-like protein 6
Exons: 3
Source: RefSeq, a predicted model, not a curated record